UACGUAGGGGGCGAGCGUUGUUCGGAAUCACUGGGCGUAAAGGGCGUGUAGGCGGUCAGGUAAGUGGGAUGUGAAAUGCCCCGGCUCACCCGGGGACCGGCAUCCCAUACUGCUUGGCUUGAGUACGGGAGAGGAUGUGGGAAUUCCUGGUGUAGCGGUGAAAUGCGUAGAUAUCAGGAGGAACACCGGUGGCGAAGGCGCACAUCUGGCCCGAUACUGACGCUGAGGCGCGAAAGCUAGGGGAGCAAACGGG
RNAcentral lists this ribosomal RNA (253 nucleotides) under uncultured bacterium. RNAcentral's name for it is "partial 16S ribosomal RNA". It matches the Rfam family "Bacterial small subunit ribosomal RNA", at positions 524 to 776 of the family's 1533-position model. The record is from RNAcentral.